This 1301-nucleotide small RNA is filed under the name Arabidopsis thaliana (thale cress). RNAcentral's name for it is "ATSL092600". Lineage: Eukaryota; Viridiplantae; Streptophyta; Magnoliopsida; Brassicales; Brassicaceae. The record is from RNAcentral.
GGAAGGCGAAGUCCACAUUGCUCAUGUUCCACCACGACGUGAAGUUGAAACCGGAGAUGGAGUUUGAUGGUGGAGUUCUAGCUUUGCCGGCUGUUUUUGUAGCAGAGUCUUUUGUCGGAGUUGAAGCUCUGGUUUCACAGCGGCUUCGAAAACGAAAAGGAAAAAGAGUGAGACUUGAAGAGGAGGAGGAUGACGAACCUGAAUUGGGGGUUGACGCUAACAACGAAGAAGACUGCGGUGUGUAUGGUGAUGAAGACUGCGAUGCUGUGGAAGACAUAGUCGGUGGUGGAGAGAAUGAUGAUAAUUGAUAAUAGGUUUUUAAGAUCAAUUAAUCCUAAAACACUAUCAUGUCGUUGUAGUACUGAAGGUUGUCAAUCCAAAUGGGUGUGAUGCUAACAAUCAAGAUUUGAUCAGAAAUUACUAAGUCAAGCCAAGCAAUAACAGGUUUUGGUGUGUUCUAGCAGUCCUAAGUGAACAUGCAGAAAACAAAAACAAUAAAACACUCGACCAACACAGCUCGUUGCAGAGCACUGGGUGUGGUCGAGUGACUUGGUCGAGUAACAGGCAGUAAACGAAACAGGGAUACUCGACUGCACAGUCUGUUGCCAAACAACUAGGUGGUCGAGUAUCAGGUCGAGUAACAGGAGAGAAAUGCAAAAACUAAGCAACAGGUAACAAGAUGCAGUAAACAACAACAAAGUAAACAAUAAAAUUAAUCAGAUAAAGAAUUCCCGAGGAUGCGGUAAUUGAGUAGUUUUGUUUCCACAGUUUAUAGGUGAUUGACAUGCUCAAUAAAUUAUCCCUAGACAACAAGUUCCUUAACCAAAUCUAAGUGCCACCGCAACAGAGACCCUCAAGUUAACCUAGUCUCAAACUCAAUCACCAUUGACGAGAGCUAAUCUAACAGGCAUUACGAAUCAACAAGUUAAAGCCAAAAUGCUCCCUGCAACGAAUACCUUGGUACAAGGCCACGAAUUUCUGGAAUUAGUGGUUCUGACAUUUCAUCGAACACCUUUUGGGCGCGGAAAGGUCUGGGCUCAAAUUCCAGUUGAUCAGAAAGCAAUAGGCAUUAAGAUCAACUAAUCCAGAAGGGAUCUAUCAAUCAAACUCAACCACCUAGCAUACUAAGAAUUCUACACUACUCUAACUCAUCCUCAGAAACCUAUUCACUACUGAGACAUCAUUGUAGAGAACAUAAACGUUGAAUAGAAUGAAAACAUGAUAACAAUAGAGUAAUAGCAAGGUGAUAAUAGGAUGAACAAGAGUAAACAAAAUCAAGAACAAAAUACUGAAUAUUGAAU